UGGGGAAUAUUGCACAAUGGGCGCAAGCCUGAUGCAGCCAUGCCGCGUGUGUGAAGAAGGCCUUCGGGUUGUAAAGCACUUUCAGCGGGGAGGAAGGCGAUAAGGUUAAUAACCUUGUCGAUUGACGUUACCCGCAGAAGAAGCACCGGCUAACUCCGUGCCAGCAGCCGCGGUAAUACGGAGGGUGCAAGCGUUAAUCGGAAUUACUGGGCGUAAAGCGCACGCAGGCGGUCUGUCAGGUCGGAUGUGAAAUCCCCGGGCUCAACCCGGGAAUUGCAUCUGAUACUGGUCAGCUAGAGUCUUGUAGAGGGGGGUAGAAUUCCAUGUGUAGCGGUGAAAUGCGUAGAGAUGUGGAGGAAUACCGGUGGCGAAGGCGGCCCCCUGGACGAAGACUGACGCUCAGGUGCGAAAGCGUGGGGAGCAAACAGG
This 429-nucleotide ribosomal RNA is filed under the name Chloroflexota bacterium. RNAcentral describes it as "Chloroflexi bacterium partial 16S ribosomal RNA". It matches the Rfam family "Bacterial small subunit ribosomal RNA", at positions 355 to 776 of the family's 1533-position model. Lineage: Bacteria; Bacillati; Chloroflexota. The record is from RNAcentral.